This 77-nucleotide transfer RNA is filed under the name Candidatus Lloydbacteria bacterium CG22_combo_CG10-13_8_21_14_all_47_15. RNAcentral describes it as "tRNA-Val". It matches the Rfam family "tRNA". From Rfam's summary of the family: Transfer RNA (tRNA) molecules are approximately 80 nucleotides in length. Lineage: Bacteria; Candidatus Lloydiibacteriota. The record is from RNAcentral.
GCGCGUGUAGCUCAGAUGGUUAGAGUACUUGCAUGACACGCAAGGGGUCCCAGGUUCAAAUCCUGGCACGCGCACCA